RNAcentral lists this ribosomal RNA (253 nucleotides) under uncultured bacterium. RNAcentral's name for it is "partial 16S ribosomal RNA". It matches the Rfam family "Bacterial small subunit ribosomal RNA", at positions 524 to 776 of the family's 1533-position model. The record is from RNAcentral.
UACGUAGGGCGCGAGCGUUGUCCGGAAUUAUUGGGCGUAAAGAGCUCGUAGGUGGUUUGCUGCGUCUGCUGUGAAAUCCUGGGGCUUAACCCUGGGCUUGCAGUGGAUACGGGCAGACUUGAGGUAGGUAGGGGAGAAUGGAAUUCCCGGUGUAGCGGUGAAAUGCGCAGAUAUCGGGAGGAACACCGGUGGCGAAGGCGGUUCUCUGGGCCUUACCUGACACUGAGGAGCGAAAGCGUGGGGAGCGAACAGG